UUCAAAGUCAUUGCCUUUAUAAAUAGGAAAGGAGUGCUCUAGCUAACACAAAUCAAAAGGUCAGUAAAAGAAAUUGACGAUAAGAGAGCUAUGUCAAAGUCACUGAUCCUGUUCAUGUUGAUUUCCAGUAUUACCCUCGAAAUGGUGGCCGCAGAGAGCUACUGUCAGGCGCAGCGUCGGGUAACAAGGAACGCAUGCGCAAUGGUGGCUUUCUUUCAAUCUCCAAGCAAUGAAUGUUGUCUUAGAAUAAGGAUGAUUCCUAUGCGGUGCGUUUGUCCUCUCAUAACACCACAGAUCGCAGCUCGCGUCACGGCCCGUAAACUCAAUUACGGUAUUGGGGUCAUCCGUCAAUGCGGCCGACCCGUAGCCAGCGGCACGAAGUGUGGAAGCCUUACGGCUCCAUGAGCUCUUUGGACGGUGAUGAGGAAUAUAUCAGUGUGCCCGAAGACAUUGGAUUAUGUUUACAAUGUGAAUGCUUUGAAUUGCUUAUGUAUUGAUGUUGUAGUCUUUUGCUAUUCUUGUUCUUGUUGAAUCCUUGUGCUGAUGUCUAAUAAACUAUCUAUCUAUCCAGUCUGAAUAAAUUAACUUCGUUAA
This is a long non-coding RNA of Raphanus sativus (radish), 594 nucleotides long. RefSeq lists it as uncharacterized. The transcript is spliced from 2 exons. Lineage: Eukaryota; Viridiplantae; Streptophyta; Magnoliopsida; Brassicales; Brassicaceae. The record is from RefSeq and is a predicted model, not a curated record.